This 1866-nucleotide long non-coding RNA is filed under the name Anas platyrhynchos platyrhynchos (common mallard). RNAcentral's name for it is "lncRNA (ENSAPLG00000021282.1)". The record is from RNAcentral. Lineage: Eukaryota; Metazoa; Chordata; Aves; Anseriformes; Anatidae.
AUGUUCAGCUGGCACCGGAGCUUCGCGCUGGCAGCGCCCUGGAGGCGAGGUGAGCCCGGCCGCCCCCCGCGGCACACCCCCGGCCCCGCUCCUCCCUCCCGGCCGGGGCCGCCCGGGCGGUGCCCGGCCCGCUGCGGGCAGCACGGCCCUGCCCGCCCCGCCGCCGGCCCGAUGCUGCGCUCGCUGCUCUCCGGCUGCCUCUGUCCCCACGCAGGUAAGAAGAGCCCACCUGCUGAGGACAAAGUAGUGCUAACACACAUGAAGAUACUGACCAACGAAGGAAUUCAGAACCCAGCGCUAACACCAGAGACCCCCACUGAUGCAGCCUGCACCGAAGAGCCCCAUCUCCCUGGUGCCAGCCUCCCCCAGGACUGCCAGGGAAGUCCCAAUGCUGUGGCCCCGGAGGCAGACCCAGACUGUGCAGAUGCCCCGGCAGGCACAGACUAUGUAGCCACACUGCCUGACCUCAGCACCUUUGAGUCCAAGUGCCAGCUUCACAGAUUCUCCAAAUUUGAGUCUGAGGACUCAGGGGUCGAAUUGCCAAGUGGGGCUAAUUCUCCAUCGACGCCAACAGGUUCAGAGAAGAGCUUUGUGCUUCACAACAGAGACUCAUUUUGCGACUCGGGCGUGCUUAGCACCUCUUCGUCCCCAGAAAUUGACCAUCUGAUAACGAGAACAUGUAAAGAACGUGCCAGAAAAGUCAGUCACCAAGGUCCAGAGAGUGAAAAGCAAGCUGAGUGCUACAGCCAGGAGUCUGAUGCUGUGCAGGUUCCCACAGCUCCCCUUGACAACUUCAGUGUCCCUCAGGAAGGAGAAAAUCCUGGUGAACAUUUUGACCAGAGCGAAAGGCAAUCUCUGGAAAAGGAACCUGCACCAGAGAUGGACCUACCCAGGGAAAGCACUCUUCCCACCCCAGAUCCUGUAGAAGAGCCAAAGACAAUUGCUGACAAUUACCCAGAGAGCUUUGGCAGCAUGCAAGACCUUCAGAUCCCUGGGCAUCCACUGAAGAAGUACCCCACAAGUGACAGCCUGGAUGAAUACAUGGAUGAAUGCUGUCGACUGAGUGAGGUGAACCAAGGGAACAGCAAGGCCCUGGGAUCAGGCCUGGGAUACCUGGAACACAUCUGCCAACUGAUAGAGAAGAUUGGGCAGCUGCAGGAGCACAACCUGCGGCUCCAGAAGCAGGUCUGCAGCUUGCAGAAAGAGCAGAAGAUGAGCCAGCUAAAAGAGGAGUACCUCAUGCAGCAUUGCUCCUGCGGAGCUGCCAGCGUGUUCCUCAACUCGUACCAAGACAUGAAGACAUUUUUUGCAGGAAGAAGCAGACCUCACAGCCUCUUGGUUCAGACGGGAAACCCUUCUGAUCUUUCCAUCAUCCCAGAAAUAGGAGCCAACACCGAAAAGCUGAGCAGCUGCAGCGGAAGUGAGAGAUACCCGGAAUCAGGAAACAGCCAGCCAAUGUCGGGGCUCAGGAAGCUGUCAAACAAUAGGAACAACAAGGAGAAUGAGUUCACAGAAGCUGGUAGCAUGGCUGAGGGGCAGGCUUUUCCGUCAAAGGACCCUGCAGCCCGAAAGGUGAGUGAUAAGCUUGGAGCCAGGCUCCGAGUGGGGUCGGUGGGGGAAGCAGGGAGAAGUUCUGCUCACGCAAGUGCAGAGCAAGGUACCAGGAGAACAAGCCAACAUUGCCUGCUCCCGACCAGAGCUGGGGCUGUGUGGGCCGGGGUGCUCUGUAUGUAUCUGAUCUCAGGCUUAAAUAAUGAUGAAGGAUAUGCUGAUGGGGCAAGAAAGGCACAGAACAGGUACCUGGUGCAGGGGAAAGAAGCACUGCAGGCAGCAACAUGGGCUUUAGCCCUCACUAACUCCAGGUAG